GUGAUAAAUUUAACGGCCGCGGUACCCUAACCGUGCAAAGGUAGCAUAAUCACUUGUUCUUUAAAUAAGGACUUGUAUCAACGGCAUCACGAGGGUUUUACUGUCUCCUCUCUCCAAUCGGUGAAACUGAUCUCCCCAUGAAAAAGUGGGGAUAAACUUAUAAGACGAGAAGACCCCAUGGAGCUUUAAAACCUAUAGCAACUUAGUAAAACAUUUCCAUCUAGCUAUAAAACGAUGCUCAAGGACUUUAGGUUGGGAGGACCACGGAGCACAAGAUAACCUCCGUAAUGAAAAGAAUAAAAUCUUUACCAAAGAGCCACAACUCUAAGAAUUAGAAAACUAACGUACAUGACCCGAUAACGAUCAAUGAACUAAGUUACCCUGGGGAUAACAGCGCAAUCCACUCUGAGAGUUCAUAUCGACGAGCGGGCUUACGACCUCGAUGUUGGAUCAGGGUAUCCUGGUGGUGCAGCCGCUACCGAAGGUUCGUUUGUUCAACGAUUAAAACCC
RNAcentral lists this ribosomal RNA (510 nucleotides) under Pseudophilautus wynaadensis. RNAcentral's name for it is "partial large subunit ribosomal RNA". It matches the Rfam family "Bacterial large subunit ribosomal RNA", at positions 1910 to 2596 of the family's 2925-position model. Lineage: Eukaryota; Metazoa; Chordata; Amphibia; Anura; Rhacophoridae. The record is from RNAcentral.